UAGUGACAAGAAAUAACAAUACGGGGCUUAAAGUCUUGUAAUUGGAAUGAUGGGAAUUUAAACCUCUUCCAGAGUAUCAAUUGGAGGGCAAGUCUGGUGCCAGCAGCCGCGGUAAUUCCAGCUCCAAUAGCGUAUAUUAAAAUUGUUGCAGUUAAAAAGCUCGUAGUUGAAUUUCUGCUGCAUUGCUUGUGUCCCUCUGGGGUCUGUGCAUGUGGCUUUUUUCGGACGGAGUUUCUUUGUCUGAAUGUUUACUUUGAGAAAAUUAGAGUGCUCAAAGCAGGCUUUCGCCUUGAAUAGUUUAGCAUGGAAUAAUAAAGUAGGACUUUGGUUCUAUUUUG
This 338-nucleotide ribosomal RNA is filed under the name Theileria annulata. RNAcentral describes it as "SSU rRNA". It matches the Rfam family "Eukaryotic small subunit ribosomal RNA", at positions 465 to 843 of the family's 1831-position model. The record is from RNAcentral. Lineage: Eukaryota; Apicomplexa; Aconoidasida; Piroplasmida; Theileriidae.